ACAGGACGGAAAGCCCCCGUGGAGCUUUACUGCAACCUGAUAUGGAAUGUUUGUACCGCUUGUACAGGAUAGGUAGGGGCCGAAGAGACGUGUGCGCUAGCAUGCGAGGAGGCAAUGGUGGGAUACAACCCGGGCUGUAUGACCAUUCUAACCCGCCACGCUUAGCGCGUGGGGAGACAGUGUCAGGUGGGCAGUUUGACUGGGG
Molecule: ribosomal RNA, 205 nt
Filed under: Listeria monocytogenes
Lineage: Bacteria; Bacillati; Bacillota; Bacilli; Caryophanales; Listeriaceae
Description: partial 23S ribosomal RNA
Rfam family: Bacterial large subunit ribosomal RNA
Source: RNAcentral